This is a non-coding RNA of Pelobates cultripes (western spadefoot toad), 229 nucleotides long. The record is from the annotation of a GenBank genome assembly. NCBI's taxonomy places the organism in Eukaryota, Metazoa, Chordata, Amphibia, Anura, Pelobatidae.
UCCCGCUGGCCGCAUGGAAGUCUGUGCCGACCAAUGGGAGAAGGAGCGCCCAUUCAAACUGGGUUUGCGCCAUUCUCCUGGUUGGUUGGCACAAGUAAAGCGCCAAUUGGUCGCCGCAGGGAGCGGGAGACCAAUCAGAGAAGGAGCGCUUGUUCAAACAGGGUUUCGCGCCCUUUCUUAUUCACCAUGGGCACCGAUUGGUGCAAAUUGGUUUCGCACCUUUCAGCGG